Molecule: ribosomal RNA, 315 nt
Filed under: Porphyromonas gulae
Lineage: Bacteria; Pseudomonadati; Bacteroidota; Bacteroidia; Bacteroidales; Porphyromonadaceae
Description: bacterial SSU rRNA
Rfam family: Bacterial small subunit ribosomal RNA
Source: RNAcentral
CACUUUCUUGGUUGCAUGAUCGGGCAAGGAAAUAUUUAUAGCUGUAAGAUAGGCAUGCGUCCCAUUAGCUGGUUGGUGAGGUAACGGCUCACCAAGGCAACGAUGGGUAGGGGAACUGAGAGGUUUAUCCCCCACACUGGUACUGAGACACGGACCAGACUCCUACGGGAGGCAGCAGUGAGGAAUAUUGGUCAAUGGGCGAGAGCCUGAACCAGCCAAGUCGCGUGAAGGAUGACUGUCCUAAGGAUUGUAAACUUCUUUUAUACGGGAAUAACGGGCGAUACGCGUAUUGCUGUGAAUGUACCGUAAGAAUAA